CAGCAGCCACGGUAAUACGAAGGGUGCAAGCGUUACUCGGAAUGACUGGGCGUAAAGGGCGCGUAGGCGGUUUGUACAGUUGGAUGUGAAAUUCCUGGGCUUAACCUGGGGGCUGCAUUCAAUACGUGCAGGCUUGAGUGUGGAAGAGGGUUGUGGAAUUCCCAGUGUAGAGGUGAAAUUCGUAGAUAUUGGGAAGAACACCGGUGGCGAAGGCGGCAACCUGGUCCAUUACUGACGCUGAGGCGCGAAAGCGUGGGGAGCAAACAGGAUUAGAUACCCCAGUAGUCCCUGUCUCUUAUAC
This 301-nucleotide ribosomal RNA is filed under the name uncultured bacterium. RNAcentral describes it as "partial 16S ribosomal RNA". It matches the Rfam family "Bacterial small subunit ribosomal RNA", at positions 509 to 807 of the family's 1533-position model. The record is from RNAcentral.